This 304-nucleotide ribosomal RNA is filed under the name uncultured bacterium. RNAcentral describes it as "partial 16S ribosomal RNA". It matches the Rfam family "Bacterial small subunit ribosomal RNA", at positions 506 to 807 of the family's 1533-position model. The record is from RNAcentral.
CAGCAGUAGCCGCGGUAACACAGAGGGUGCGAGCGUUAAUCGGAUUUACUGGGCGUAAAGCGUGCGUAGGCGGCUUCUUAAGUCGGAUGUGAAAUCCCUGAGCUUAACUUAGGAAUUGCAUUCGAUACUGGGAAGCUAGAGUAUGGGAGAGGAUGGUAGAAUUCCAGGUGUAGCGGUGAAAUGCGUAGAGAUCUGGAGGAAUACCGAUGGCGAAGGCAGCCAUCUGGCCUAAUACUGACGCUGAGGUACGAAAGCAUGGGGAGCAAACAGGAUUAGAUACCCCUGUAGUCCCUGUCUCUUAUAC